ACCAUGGAGAGUUUGAUCCUGGCUCAGGAUGAACGCUGGCGGUCGGCCUAACACAUGCAAGUCGAACGGGCCCUUUUGGGCUAGUGGCGGACGGGUGAGUAACGCGUGAGAACCUGCCCUCCAGAGGGGGAUAACAGUUGGAAACGACUGCUAAUACCCCAUAGGCCGCAAGGUGAAAGGAGCAAUCCGCUGGAGGAGGGGCUCGCGUCCCAUUAGCUAGUUGGUGGGGUAAUGGCCUAC
Molecule: ribosomal RNA, 240 nt
Filed under: Geminocystis sp.
Lineage: Bacteria; Bacillati; Cyanobacteriota; Cyanophyceae; Chroococcales; Geminocystaceae
Description: partial 16S ribosomal RNA
Rfam family: Bacterial small subunit ribosomal RNA
Source: RNAcentral